UGGGGUGUCGUCUAAUGGCAAGACAACAGACUCUGGAUCUGUCUAUUGGGGUUCGAAUCCCUGCACCCCAGCCA
Molecule: transfer RNA, 74 nt
Filed under: Candidatus Cloacimonadota bacterium
Lineage: Bacteria; Pseudomonadati; Candidatus Cloacimonadota
Description: Candidatus Cloacimonetes bacterium (marine metagenome) tRNA-Gln
Rfam family: tRNA
About the family: Transfer RNA (tRNA) molecules are approximately 80 nucleotides in length. Their secondary structure includes four short double-helical elements and three loops (D, anti-codon, and T loops).
Source: RNAcentral